Molecule: transfer RNA, 73 nt
Filed under: Spirochaeta sp.
Lineage: Bacteria; Pseudomonadati; Spirochaetota; Spirochaetia; Spirochaetales; Spirochaetaceae
Description: tRNA-Val
Rfam family: tRNA
About the family: Transfer RNA (tRNA) molecules are approximately 80 nucleotides in length. Their secondary structure includes four short double-helical elements and three loops (D, anti-codon, and T loops).
Source: RNAcentral
GGGCGGUUAGCUCAGUUGGGAGAGCGCCUGGUUUACACCCAGGAGGUCGUGGGUUCGAGCCCCGCAUCGCCCA